GUYUUUUAGUAAUUUAUUAAAAGUCUAACCUGCCCAUUGAUUAAAUUAAAAGGCUGCGGUAUUUUGACCGUACAAAGGUAGCAUAAUCAUUAGUUUUUUAAUUGGAAACUUGUAUGAAUGGUUGAAUGAGGCAUUAACUUUUUUAAAAAAAAAAUUGAAUUUUACUUUUUAAUUAAAAGGUUAAAAUAUUAUUAAAAGACGAGAAGACCCUAUAGAGUUUUAUAUUUUUUUUUAUAUUUAUAUUGAUAAAGAUUAAUAACUAUUAUAUAAUAAAAUUUAUUUUAUUGGGGUGAUAAUAAAAUUUAAUGAACUUUUAUUUAUAAUUUUACAUUAAUAUAUGAAAAAUUGAUCCAUUAAUAAUGAUUAUAAGUUUAAGUUACCUUAGGGAUAACAGCGUAAUUUUUUUUUAAGUUCUUAUUAAUAAGAAAGUUUGCGACCUCGAUGUUGGAUUAAGAUUAAUUUUAGGUGUAGAAGCUUAAAAUUUAAGUCUGUUCGACUUUUAAAUUCUU
This 509-nucleotide ribosomal RNA is filed under the name Trichosia splendens. Its description in RNAcentral is "partial 16S ribosomal RNA". The record is from RNAcentral. Lineage: Eukaryota; Metazoa; Arthropoda; Insecta; Diptera; Sciaridae.